UUCCGGUGAAGUGCGUGCUUGACAAGUGU
This 29-nucleotide small RNA is filed under the name Bombyx mori (domestic silkworm). Its description in RNAcentral is "ovarian small RNA-9598". The record is from RNAcentral. Lineage: Eukaryota; Metazoa; Arthropoda; Insecta; Lepidoptera; Bombycidae.